GGCGAGAUGGCCGAGUGGUCUAAGGCGCAGUCCUUGGAACACCAAGAUUCACCGGGGUCCCGGGUUCGAAUCCCGCCAUCGCCU
This is a non-coding RNA of Ancylostoma ceylanicum, 84 nucleotides long. The record is from Rfam. Lineage: Eukaryota; Metazoa; Nematoda; Chromadorea; Rhabditida; Ancylostomatidae.